UACGAAGGGGGCGAGCGUUGUUCGGAAUUACUGGGCGUAAAGGGCGCGCAGGCGGCCCUUGAAGUCAGAUGUGAAAGCCCCGGGCUCAACCUGGGAAUUGCAUUUGAUACUCGAGGGCUGGAGUGCGGGAGAGGAGAGUGGAAUUCCCAGUGUAGAGGUGAAAUUCGUAGAUAUUGGGAAGAACACCGGUGGCGAAGGCGGCUCUCUGGACCGCAACUGACGCUGAGGCGCGAAAGCGUGGGGAGCAAACAGG
This 253-nucleotide ribosomal RNA is filed under the name uncultured bacterium. Its description in RNAcentral is "partial 16S ribosomal RNA". It matches the Rfam family "Bacterial small subunit ribosomal RNA", at positions 524 to 776 of the family's 1533-position model. The record is from RNAcentral.